This 292-nucleotide ribosomal RNA is filed under the name uncultured bacterium. Its description in RNAcentral is "partial 16S ribosomal RNA". It matches the Rfam family "Bacterial small subunit ribosomal RNA", at positions 505 to 796 of the family's 1533-position model. The record is from RNAcentral.
GUGUCAGCCGCCGCGGUAAUACGAAGGGGGCUAGCGUUGUUCGGAAUUACUGGGCGUAAAGCGCGCGCAGGUGGUUUCUCAAGUCAGUGGUGAAAGCCCGGAGCUCAACUCCGGAACUGCCAUUGAAACUGUGGAACUCGAGGACGAGAGAGGUGAGUGGAAUUCCCAGUGUAGAGGUGAAAUUCGUAGAUAUUGGGAAGAACACCGGUGGCGAAGGCGGCUCACUGGCUCGUAUCUGACACUCAAGCGCGACAGCGUGGGGAUCAAACAGGAUUAGAUACCCCUGUAGUCC